This 253-nucleotide ribosomal RNA is filed under the name uncultured archaeon. Its description in RNAcentral is "partial 16S ribosomal RNA". It matches the Rfam family "Archaeal small subunit ribosomal RNA", at positions 474 to 727 of the family's 1478-position model. The record is from RNAcentral.
AACCAGCACCUCAAGUGGUCAGGAUGAUUAUUGGGCCUAAAGCAUCCGUAGCCGGCUCUGUAAGUUUUCGGUUAAAUCUGUACGCUCAACGUACAGGCUGCCGGGAAUACUGCAGAACUAGGGAGUGGGAGAGGUAGACGGUACUCGGUAGGAAGUGGUAAAAUGCUUUGAUCUAUCGAUGACCACCUGUGGCGAAGGCGGUCUACCAGAACACGUUCGACGGUGAGGGAUGAAAGCUGGGGGAGCAAACCGG